This is a long non-coding RNA of Esox lucius (northern pike), 162 nucleotides long. RefSeq lists it as uncharacterized. NCBI's taxonomy places the organism in Eukaryota, Metazoa, Chordata, Actinopteri, Esociformes, Esocidae. The transcript has 3 exons. The record is from RefSeq and is a predicted model, not a curated record.
CUGAAAAUUACUGAACGCCGAGUCACCUACAUAGCGAUACGUGAGAGACCGGACGUGUGUAUGCCAGAGGAGUGAAAAUCGUUCCAGCGAGAUAUUCCACGCCACCAUGUAGAGGAUUGCUGUUCAAGAAGGCAGAAGUAGGAGGAAGCUCUGCACAAGAAG